Molecule: ribosomal RNA, 439 nt
Filed under: uncultured bacterium
Lineage: Bacteria
Description: bacterial SSU rRNA
Rfam family: Bacterial small subunit ribosomal RNA
Source: RNAcentral
AUUGAACGCUAGCGGCAUGCCUUACACAUGCAAGUCGAACGGGCAGUAGCGAUACUGUCAGUGGCGGACGGGUGAGUAACGCGUAGGAAUCUAUCCUUGAAUGGGGGACAACCGUGGGAAACUACGGCUAAUACCGCAUGAUCCCUGAGGGGCAAAGGCGAAAGUCGCCUGAGGAGGAGCCUGCGUCUGAUUAGGUAGUUGGUGGGGUAAUGGCCUACCAAGGCGACGAUCAGUAGCUGGUCUGAGAGGAUGAUCAGCCACACUGGGACUGAGACACGGCCCAGACUCCUACGGGAGGCAGCAGUGGGGAAUAUUGGACAAUGGGCGCAAGCCUGAUCCAGCAAUGCCGCGUGGGUGAAGAAGGUCUUCGGAUUGUAAAGUCCUUUUGGCGGGGACGAUGAUGACGGUACCCGCAGAAUAAGCUCCGGCUAACUUCGUG